Oncorhynchus tshawytscha (Chinook salmon) is the source of this 539-nucleotide long non-coding RNA. The record is from Ensembl. Lineage: Eukaryota; Metazoa; Chordata; Actinopteri; Salmoniformes; Salmonidae.
GCUGGAGGUGGGAAUGGGGUUAGCUGGGGCUGAGGGCUGGAGGUGGGAAUGGAGUUAGCUGGGGCUGAGGGCUGAGAGGUGGGAAUGGGGUUAGCUGGGGCUGUGGGCUGGGGGUGGGAAUGGGGUUAGCUGGGGACUGGGGGCUGGAGGUGGGAAUGGAGUUAGCUGGGGCUGGGGGCUGGAGGUGGGAAUGGAGUUAGCUGGGGCUGAGGGCUGGAGGUGGGAAUGGAGUUAGCUGGGGCUGAGGGCUGAGAGGUGGGAAUGGAGUUCGCUGGGGCUGAUGGCUGAGAGGUGGGAAUGGAGUUAGCUGGGGCUGAGGGCUGGAGGUGGGAAUGGAGUUAACUGGGGCUGAGGAUUGAGAGGUGGGAAUGGAGUUAGCUGGGGCUGAGGAUUGAGAGGUGGGAAUGGAGUUAGCUGGGGCUGAGGGCUGGAGGUGGGAAUGGAGUUAGCUGGGGCUGAGGGCUGGAGGUGGGAAUGGAGUUAGCUGGGGCUGAGGGUUGAGAGGUGGGAAUGGGGUUAGCUGGGGCUGAGGGCUGAGA